ACCAGGGAGCACAAUGCUGUUUGCUGUUGUGCCCACUGCAAUUUGGCUCUUGGCACACCUCGCAGCAGAAGCAAGCAGUAAAGGGGACAUGACUGCUGGCAGACUUCCCCACGGUGCUGCAGAACUAUGUGACAAAGGGAAUAUGACUGCUAACACCUCUUCCUAUGUCCAGCCUGGGAGCAGCAUCACCCUCUUCUGCCAGCUGAAACCCCAGCUGUACAGCAAGCAGUGCAGGAUAGCUAUUUUCUUUAACAGCUCUGAACGAAAUAGCAGUUACAGCAGUUCAAUCCUCCAGAUGAGCCAAGAAACGUGUCAUGUAUCCAGCAGGGGACUGAUGCUCACCCCAUCUGCACCUGGGAUAAAGGCAGGCUCACGUACAUCAACACUACGCAUGUAGUACAGCUAUCAAACGGGACAGAUAGCUUAUACA
RNAcentral lists this long non-coding RNA (430 nucleotides) under Melopsittacus undulatus (budgerigar). Its description in RNAcentral is "lncRNA (ENSMUNG00000018953.1)". The record is from RNAcentral. Lineage: Eukaryota; Metazoa; Chordata; Aves; Psittaciformes; Psittaculidae.